AAAGGGAGUCCGGUUGCUUCGGGAUGGUCACCAUCCACCUUUUAUCGCGUUCCGAUUGCUCGUCGUCACUCGCAAUCGGCCUCCCGCGGCGCACGCCGCUCGGCUCGACCCAAACCACGCGCGACUACCGAACGACCUCCGAUCCGUGAUCCGGUUAUUAAAGGUCUUCGGUUCUUCGUUACGAUGCUCGGAAUCCGAUCUCACUAUUUAUGGAAGCCGCCUCGGCUCCUCGGGUCAAUACGAACCCACGGACACUUGUUUCAGCCGGAACGUCGCACCCGCUCGACGAAUCGACGAACCGUCACUUCCCACGCGUUCGGACACCUAUCAAUUAGGUUUAUAGAGGGUUAAUAGAGAUCAAACCCAACUAUUUACAAAAAAUCCCAUUUUUGAAGCCCUAUAUACCAUUGAUGCUAAAUACUCCAAAUCAGUCCAAGAUUUAGGUACUAGUUAUCUCAUUAGCAUCCUAGGAUUCCAAAAAUACCAUUUCUAGAGAUCAAAACCCAUGAUCUACCAAGAAAUCCAAUUCAAGCCCUAGGUUUACAACUAGGCAAUAAACCACCAUUAGAGCUUUGGAUUUAAGCAUAAUCUAUCUAAUUAGCAUCUAGGAAAGCUACUAAAUCCAUUUCUAGAGUAUUUAAAUCACACCCUAGAGAUCUACCAUUGAAGGGGUUAACAAGCUUACCUCUUAAGCUAGCACAACGGAGAGGAGAAGAUGAGAAGAUGAAGCUCCACCUUGUUUGCUUCCUUCUUCACCAUCUUCUUCUCCUUCCUCCUCUUCUUCUUCUCUUCUCCUUUCUUUCUAGAGAGAGAGAGAGAGCUAUUUGGUGUAGUAGGGUUGAGAGAAAUGAGAGAGAAGAGAUAACCCAAGCUUCUAUAGCCUCUUAUUAGAGCAAAAUUGCAGAAAACACCCUCAACAAAGCUUCCCUCGCAACAGCCCAAACUGGGCCAUUUUCGCGCUCGGGGACCGGUCCUUGCGAUGAGCGACCGGUCCCUGAGAGACCGGUCCUUGACUUUGAGACCAGUCCUCGAAGGUCCAGAACUCAGCCUCAAGGACUUAGCCAAAUUUUCAGCAUUUUCGUCCGUUUUCGUCCGUUCUCGCUUGUUUGACCUCCGAUUCGUCUCAAAUCGAACCGAGACUCUUCAAACAUAUUUUCAAACAUGUUUUCAUCAUCUUUCCAUCCUCGCUAAUGCCGGAUUUAGCUCACGGCCCACUUAGCCUUCCGGGUUCCGUUUUCGCGCGUAUGCGCACUGAAACGCCCGAUUGCCCCAGAACUUCACCAAACUUCACCGGGACCAUUCAAACAGCUCUCCAACCAAAUGUACACCGUAACUUCAUGAUUUUAGAAGUCCGGUACCUUACAUCCUCCCCUCCUUAAUAAGAGUUUCGUCCUCGAAACUAACUCACCUCAAACCUAAUUCACACCCUAAUUCUCUUUAUUGAGUGACAAGGGGUACAGUACACUUUUGCAUCUCGGAGUGGCCUUUCGCUCAUUGGAACUAUCCAAGGCCCACUACGGAGGACGUGAGACUAGAUUCACUCACAUUUGCUGUGUGUAAGUCCAAAAGUGCAUUACGGGUCUCCGUCAUUCUGGGUGGUAGCGCAAGUCGAAACUCAACGACUCUACGCGCUCCAACACCAUUCUUCAUCUGGCAUGCAAGAACUCUUCUUUGCAUCCCACACCUUGUCAGGGAACAUACUCCGAUUCGAUCACCGACAUUGCUCAAAAGCAAUAUAUGAUUGGGGCAUCACCCAAUCACAAAUGCUCUAAUCACAUUCGGACUUUGCUCUACCGUGAGAUGGCCUACCCCGGCAUAUCUCAAACCUCCAAUUCUCAAGAGAGCAUUGUCCACAACUCCAUGUGGCUAUCAGGUAUUCAAGUGUCCCCAAUAGAGCACUUUCUCUUAUCUCUCAAUUGCCACCUCUAACCUCAAAUCGCUCUACUGCGAGAUGGCCUACCCCGGCACAUCUCUCGAACUUUGAUCCACGAAAGAGCGUUGUCUCCAAGUUUUCCAAAUUUUUCCAACAUAACCAAGCCUGCCUGGGCAAAUCUUGUACUCGGGGACCGGUCUUGCCCUACCUGGGACCGGUUGCCCCGUGCUGCCCAACCUUCCGCCUCGGGGCAACCGGUCCCUCCCUCCUGGGACCGGUCCCCGAGAGCAAGCUCGCGCAAACCACAUUCGGGAACCGGUCCCUCCCACCAGGGACCGGUCCCCGAGAGCAAUUCUGCCAAGUGCAGAUUCUUGCACCAUUUGCUCUCGCGUACUCUAUUGCAAUGCACUUUUGGCUCAUUUGACUUCUUCGACUUUUACGAAGCACUCCCACUCGACAAUUAGUCGAUCCUGAGCGAAGUGCAAAUCUCGUAUUUCGAGGACUCUCUUCCUUACUCUGACUCCUCCACAGAAUUAUUGGCUAAAACGAUUACGUCGGCUUUUGCGGGUGGACCAGCGGUCGUAAUGCUACAUCGGCAUAUUGCCUAAACCUAUCGUACUACGCAUAGCGUCUCUCACUAGCAUCAUAGACCCAAUCAUCAUCGGGCGACAUUCUCAUUGGAGAAUUCGCACACACUCCAACCAGGAGCAACCAAGACUCCAACCACAUCAUGUCCUCGGGUUGGGUCACCACACACUCGGUGUGUCCUCGAUCUCAUGAUCUAACACGUGACAUUCCACGCACUCGGGUCUAAGCUCGGACUACCGUCCUGACCAAAACCCUCCGCCCUACCUAUCGGUAUUGGGCCGUUGCCUCUCGCAGCUGACUGCGCCUGCCAAAUGGGCCCAGGCUCCACAGUCCACGAAGGGUCCAGGCACGGGUCGUCCCCAAGCACUACCCGCUAACGUCGUCCUACACGACACACUCUACAGAGCUACGCACUCUACCGGCUCCUAGGCACCUAGUGCGAGCCACCAGCCCUCACGAGUGAUCCAUGGCCCGCUUCACACAUAGCCCUGUCGAAGUGCUACUGCCAAUUCACUCGACCGGCUGAACCGAAACUGCAGUCCACGAGUAUUUAUACUCAAGCGCUCUACGUCUCUACAGCGUCUCGCACGAAGUCUAACAUCAGGCAGCUCAGCCUAUGCUCGCCAGCCACACGAGCAACAACUCGUCUACCUCAGUUCGAGGUACUACUAGGCCCACAGGCCAAGUUCGGCGCUAAUCAACCAAUUUCGCAACAGUGAUUAAUCACCAUUGUCCGAUCUAUCGAAUCCACCUCCGAAAUACUCUCGGGAUAUCCGGGUGUCCCCAAACAUCAAGGCUCAACUCUCGCAAUCUCUAAUCUAUUGCAUCGAGAGUUCUCUCACAUUUUCGACUUCCAUUACGAGCCUCGUUUCUUAUCCAAAAUCCCCACUAGCCAUUUGCUAGUGCCCAAUGGCUCUCUACCUGCCCCAGCGGGCGCCAUACUCUCAUCCUGCUAGCAUGCUUGGGUACCUACUCAUCCGACCACUCGGUCCCUACUAUGUAAUGUAGUAAUAGUAGUAACUGACCAAUGAUGAAUGCAUGCUAUGCAACAACUUGGGAUCAUGCAAAAAUAUGCUUGCUCAAUUAAUUUAUACCUGCUACGACGACGUCGACAACAGCAGGCACCGCAACUCGGGUCGCUUAUCCAUGGCCACUUGGCGCUCGUCGCGAACCCUCUGAUUGCAACGUCCUCAAUGGCUGCUCUCCCGACCAUGCCGCAGGUGGCACACCUGCAGCCUAUCCCUGGGCGGUCGUUAGCGUCAAGGCCCGGCUAUCGCCUUUGCGGAAACUCGUCCCGCACAUGGCCCGGCAGCCCACACCUGAAGCACUUGCCCUCACGCUGUUCACACUGCUGUGGGCAAUGAGGGCCCCCACAAAUAAUACAUCUCGCCGAGGACCGAAUGUGGUAAGUCCCUGGAGCUCGGGAUCGCGAGCGCGAACUUAUCGAAGUUCGUUGGAAACUUGACUGACCAUCAUGUCCACUCACUGGCUGUCCUUUCCCCUUUCCUUGUAGUAUGACUCGCGCUCCUCCCGUAGGGAUUCCUCACCUUGUUCUAUCCACAAGGCCCGAUCCCGGACGUCAGCGGAAGUCUGCAACUUAUGUGCAAGCACAGUCUUGCAAAGGUCUGGCCGAAGUCCACGCACAAAGCAGUCGGUCAUGUCCUUGUCAUCCCGCGCUACGUUCGGGACGCAACGCACGACACGGGAGAAUUCCCGCUCGUAUCGCCUCACGGUGCUGUUUACCUGCCACAGCUUCGGAAACCCUUCUGAAGCUUCCUCGCUUACCGUCGGGGAAGUGAACGGAGAAUACCAAUUCCCGAACUUAUCCCAGACCAUAGGAGGGAUACCAGGCAAUCAGUUCCGUCAAAUGCCUUUCCACCACACCUUUGGCGACUGUUUACAAGCAGCAUACGGCUAGGUGUGCUCUUCCUCACUCUACAACGCAUAGAUCCGCAAAGGGGGUCUCGCUCUCGGCUCGUCACCAGCAGCUUGCCGGCACCGACCAAUCACCAAUUUCUUUAGGUAGGUGACAUACCACCACGACUUAUGCGUGCUGGGUGACUCCUCUGACCUGCGUCCUGGUCUCUACUAUACCAAUAUGUAAAUAAUAGUAAAAGACCACAAGCAAAUGCAUACAAUUGCUCAAACUACUUCAUGCUAGAAUGUAUGAUCGCUUUAAUUAAAUCAUACCUGCGGUAACAUCACCAACAGCAGCAUGUCCCUCGACGUGAGCUGCGUAUCCAUGGCCGCUUGGAGCCUCCUGUGAAUCCUCCGGCUGCUCGACCACCACCAGCCCUCCAGACUGUGCCACAGGCUACACAUCCACCAUCUGUCCCGAAGAGGUGAAUGUUGACGCUGUCGGUGGGAGUUGUCCAUCGCCCAAGGGGCAACCAUGUCUCACGUGGCCAGACUGCCCGCAACGAAAACACCUUCCCUUUCGCAGCGCACACCGCCGCGCCUGGUGGGAUCCUCCACAAAUCACACACCCCGCAGGUACGGCAGUAGCAAACGGAACUCCACCAAACUGUCGCUGAGUCUCUGAGGCGGAUGCAACUGACGGGGCAGGUGGCACUCCUCCCAUGCACUGACGGGCCAUAUGUCCCGCCCGACCACACUUGAAGCACCGUCCCGCCCGAUCCUUACAAGUCGCUGCGCGAUGCUCUCUACCGCAGAUCACGCACCGCAUAGGUCCUUGUCUAAUGGACCGCCCCUUUUGGUACUUCGGGGCCUUUUUGGAACUAGACUGUUCCCCCGAACUACCACCAGGCCGUUUCUUCACUCCACUCUCCUUGAACGCCUCGCGUUCCUGUCUCACUUCCCCAGCUGCCGCAUCGAGUAUCGUAGGACCCGAAGCCGCCAGAGGGACACUAGCCGGCAGGGUAUGCGCCACCGCCGGCGUCACCAAAAUGCUCACGCCCUCAGGCGCAUCAGGCGCGCGAGCCGAGGGCGCGGGCGGACCAUGGCCUUCAGUUGUCGUCACGGCCGUCGUCGCCACUUGUCACUUCAAAAGCUCCUGGAGCUGAUCGAUCUGACUCCCUUGGCGUUGAAUCAUGCCAAUAAGCGUAGUCAUCUGCGCUCGCAAUUCUUGCACUUCACUUGACCCAGCUUGCUCAGGCACCUCGGGAGGCGGUGACGGAACGAAUCCACGCGCGUAGUGUCUCCUUGGUGCCAUUAGCUCCUGAAACACAACAACUCGGUUAAUUACCUUAACCUGCUAACCUCGUCGCAACUAUUAGACGACGCGACUCAAUCAGGCGAAAGUCAUACAAGGGUGCCUAUUCUCACCACUCAGUUUCAUGUUGUAUGCAUCCAACAUGAACACCCUCGGGUGAGAAUAAACAAAACCCUGAGUCCACCUCUAACAUCCGUCUUAGAGGUUUACCAACUUGACCCAAUCAUCCAACUUUCGCCACCGUAUAGGUUCACGUCACUCACGCACCUAUAACCUUAGGGUUCACCGUCCUAGGGUCUCCUAGGUCUAUCCUAAACUUCUCUCUUUACUUGCUCUUAACCGCUCUAAUACCACUUUAUCUGUCACGCCCCGAGACCGCUACCAAUUUGGCUCGGCCCGGGCACGUUGAACAGACGCCGGACGGACAGCACCUACCCUGUCCGCCCAAGGCUAACAACGAGAUUGCGUACAACAAGUUCCCAGGAAAGUAACUUGAAUACAUACACAAUCAAUAACUACAACGAGAGAACAAUCAGUGCAAAACAACUAAGAGCAAGAUACAAGUAUAGAACAUACAAGUAAUGAUAAAGAGAGAACAUCUAUCUAUUACAUUCAUUCAGCCUUUAUAAUACAAUUUGAUUAUACAUUAAGCUUCUAAACAUAAUAUAAAGCUUACAUCUUCCAAAAUAUAAACAUUAGCUUACAUUCAUUCCAGAAUAUCUCACAUCCUAUACAUCAUCUACUCUCAAAGCAUAUAAAGGUGACUCUAAUGCAGAAAUAGGAAAGUAAACUAAUGCAACUAGGGCGCUAGGCGCUUACCGCGAUCCUCGCCGUGUGAACUCGCGCUCGGCCCUGUAGUAAAAUGGGGGUGAGAACUAACUUUCUUAGUUCCCAGUGGGUUCGGCCGCCGACUCCGCCGAUCUCCCCACUAGGUCCAAGUGGGCACAAGUAGAUAAUCGAUAGAUAGAUAGAUAAGGAAAGCGGUAAAUAACAGAAGUAAAGCUACUCUACUAUGCCCAAUCAUAAAUAUAUGAAUGCAUGUACAAUGAAAUAAGUAAGCAACUAACCUGUUAUCAUGUCCAAAGGUAAAGCUAUUCACUCGUUCAUUAACCUCAUUUACUUGUUCAUUAAUCUCAUGGCUUACCCGAAGGCUCGCCUACAGCUCACUAGCCAUCUCGACGCGUAGGGAGAAUUAACUCAUAUUACGAACCCGAGACCAUCUGGUGGGGCCAAAAUAGGCAAUCCCUUGGGACCCAAAAUAGGCAAUCCCACGUGACCAACUCCGGAGCGCACUACUUGUGUGGGGCUUCCAUCACAAGAUUUAAAAACAGACCGUGAGCAUGAUCCAAUCCUCGUCUCGAGAAUACCCUAUCCUCUAGGGUUACAAUCAUCAUAUAGUCCAUAGGAUUCACAUACACUACGACUCAUAUGUGUCAUUUAUUCUUUUGCUUACUAUCAACUAAAUGCCACUCGUUCUUUACAAGUUUCCAAUGCAAUAGCCAAUACAUUACUAAGUUCCCAUCCACACUUAUCAUCUCAUUAUAGGGUUCCACAUCACAUAUAUAAACCUCAAGCAUGCUAGAUAUAAGUACUAAGCCAAAUACAUUAUUCUACCAAAGAACAUGCAAGGUAUAGGACCAAACCAUCAUUUAUCACCCUAUAAUGCAAGAUGUCAAUAUGCAAUUUGAUCAAAAUAAACUUAGACAUAAAAGGGAGUUCGGUUGCUUCGGGAUGGUCACUACCAACCUUUUAUCGCGUUCCGAUUGCUCGUCGUCACUCGCAAUCGGCCUCCCGCGGCGCACGCCGCUCGGCUCGACCCAAACCACGCGCGACCACCGAACGACCUCCGAUCCGCGAUCCGGUUAUUAAAGGUCUUCGGUUCUUCGUUACGAUGCUCGGAAUCCGAUCUCACUAUUUAUGGAAGCCGCCUCGGCUCCUCGGGUCAAUACGAACCC
This 7588-nucleotide long non-coding RNA is filed under the name Ananas comosus (pineapple). RNAcentral's name for it is "long non-coding RNA (ACOM_LNC039589)". Lineage: Eukaryota; Viridiplantae; Streptophyta; Magnoliopsida; Poales; Bromeliaceae. The record is from RNAcentral.